Pipistrellus kuhlii (Kuhl's pipistrelle) is the source of this 530-nucleotide non-coding RNA. Lineage: Eukaryota; Metazoa; Chordata; Mammalia; Chiroptera; Vespertilionidae. The record is from the annotation of a RefSeq genome assembly.
ACUCCUCCCUGAGCCAGAAGAUGUCUUGGGAUGCUGCCAUGGUCCCCAGGCUUCUCUGCUGUGUGGCCCUUUGUCUCCUGGGAGCAGGCCCGGUAGAUUCUGGAGUCACACAGACCCCAAAACACCUGAUCAAAGCAAGAAAACAGCAAGUGACACUGACAUGUUCCUAUAUCUCUGGGCACCUCUCCGUGUACUGGUACCAACAAGCCCAGAACCAGGGCCUCCAGUUCCUCACUGAGUAUUACAACAAGGAGGAGAGAACAAAAGGAAGCCUCCCUGACCGAUUCUCAGUGCAACAGUUCGAUGACUAUCGCUCUGAGCUGACCAUGAGCUCGCUGGAGCUGAUGGACUCGGCCCUGUAUCUCUGCGCCAGCAGUGCUGACACAGCCCUGCACACUCGGCAGCCUGCUGUACAAAAAGCUUCCUCCCCAGCUCAGGAAGUGACCGCGAGGGUGGCAGCUGCCAGCCACACAGGCGCAGGCCCGAGCAGAGCAGACUGCCUCUCUCAAGCAUCCUUCUACUGCUUGUAG